UUACGGUAGGGGUAUUUUUAAACUGGAGUAAAUACGUUAGGGACACAAAUAUGUCAGAAUUUUAACGGUAGGGGCAUUUUUUUCAAAAUAGGUUAACGGAUGACAUUUUUAAACUGGAGUCAAUACGUUAGGGGCAAUUCUGACCCUUUUUUUUUCCGACAUACUAAAAAAGAAAGAGUGUCACAUAAAUUCCAAUGGAAUAUGUUAAAUCCCUAGUCAUGUCACAUGGACAAAUAUAACAAACUUUCUA
This 250-nucleotide long non-coding RNA is filed under the name Nicotiana benthamiana. Its description in RNAcentral is "long non-coding RNA (NBEN_LNC002860)". Lineage: Eukaryota; Viridiplantae; Streptophyta; Magnoliopsida; Solanales; Solanaceae. The record is from RNAcentral.